This is a small nuclear RNA of Dermochelys coriacea (leatherback sea turtle), 164 nucleotides long. RefSeq annotates it as U1 spliceosomal RNA. The record is from RefSeq and is a predicted model, not a curated record. The transcript has a single exon. Lineage: Eukaryota; Metazoa; Chordata; Testudines; Dermochelyidae.
AUACUUACCUGGCAGGGGAGAUACCAUGAUCACGAAGGUUGUUUUCCCAGGGCGAGACUCAUCCAUUGCACUGUGGAUGUGCUGACCCCUGUGAUUUCCACAAAUGUGGGAAACUCGACUGCAUAAUUUGUGGUAUUGGGGGACUGCGUUCACUCUCUCCCCUG